Pelodiscus sinensis (Chinese soft-shelled turtle) is the source of this 292-nucleotide non-coding RNA. Lineage: Eukaryota; Metazoa; Chordata; Testudines; Trionychidae. The record is from RefSeq and is a predicted model, not a curated record.
CACCCGCGUCCCAAAGCAGCUGCUGGCUGACCUCAUUGAGAAGAACCUGCAGAAUCGGGCUCACCCCAAGCUGCUGCUGCGCAGGACGGAGUCUGUGGCUGAGAAGAUGCUGACGAACUGGUUCACCUUCCUGUUGCAUCGGUUCCUCAGGGAGUGCGCCGGGGAGCCGCUGUUCCUGUUGUUUUGCGCCAUCAAGCAGCAGAUGGAGAAGGGGCCGCUGGACGCGGUGAGCGGGGAAGCUCGCUACUCGCUGAGUGAGGACAAGCUACUCCGGCCGCAGAUCGGCUACAAG